UGAGGCACCUUUUAAAGCAGUCCCUGUCCUUUUGUAGAAGUCACGGUCAAAAGAAUGCCAAAAACAUUACUUUCACCGACGGUGGCUGUGCAGUUAGAUAAUAACUGAUUCAGGGGAAGGACACCU
This 126-nucleotide small nucleolar RNA is filed under the name Hucho hucho (huchen). The record is from RNAcentral. Lineage: Eukaryota; Metazoa; Chordata; Actinopteri; Salmoniformes; Salmonidae.